UUGUCUCAAAGAUUAAGCCAUGCAUGUCUCAGUACGAGCCGCAUUAGGGCGAAACCGCGAAAAGCUCAUUAAAUCAGUUAUGGUUCCUUAGAUCGUACCCACAGUUACUUGGAUAACUGUGGUAAUUCUAGAGCUAAUACAUGCAUAUUGGAGCCCGGCCGGUGACGGCCGGAGCGCUUUUAUUAGAUCAAAACCAACGGCGGCGGCGGGUUCCUUCGGGUUCCCGUGCGGUCGCCCAGACUUUGGCGAGUCUGAAUAACUCUUAGCAGAUCGCACGGUCUCGCACCGGCGACGCAUCUUUCAAAUGUCUGCCUUAUCAACUGUCGAUGGUAGGUUCUGCGCCUACCAUGGUGGUAACGGGUAACGGGGAAUCAGGGUUCGAUUCCGGAGAGGGAGCCUGAGAAACAGCUACCACAUCCAAGGAAGGCAGCAGGCGCGCAAAUUACCCACUCCCGGCACGGGGAGGUAGUGACGAAAAAUAACGAUACGGGACUCAUCCGAGGCCCCGUAAUCGGAAUGAGAACACUUUAAAUACUUUAACGAGUACCUAUUGAAGGGCAAGUCUGGUGCCAGCAGCCGCGGUAAUUCCAGCUUCAAUAGCGUAUAUUAAAGUUGUUGCGGUUAAAAAGCUCGUAGUCGGAUCUGUGUCCCGCGCCGACGGUUCAUCGUCCGCGGUGCCAACUGUCGAGCGCGGGACGUCCUGCCGGUGGGCGCGCGCCGCCAGUCGAAAGGCUGGCGACCGCGCGUCCGACCAAUGCUCCCGCCGUGGUGCUCUUUACCGAGUGUCGCAGCGGGCCGGCACGUUUACUUUGAACAAAUUAGAGUGCUCAAAGCAGGCCAAAACCUCGCUCGAAUAUUGCUUGCAUGGAAUAAUGGAAUAGGACCUCGGUUCUAUUUUGUUGGUUUUCGGAACCCCGAGGUAAUGAUCAAUAGGAACGGAUGGGGGCAUUCGUAUUGCGACGUUAGAGGUGAAAUUCUUGGAUCGUCGCAAGACGGACAGAAGCGAAAGCAUUUGCCAAAAACGCUUUCAUUGAUCAAGAACGAAAGUUAGAGGUUCGAAGGCGAUCAGAUACCGCCCUAGUUCUAACCAUAAACGAUGCCAUUUGACGAUGCGCCGAAGUUCCUCCGAUGACUCGGCGGGCAGUCCCCGGGAAACCAAAACUUUUGGGUUCCGGGGGAAGUAUGGUUGCAAAGCUGAAACUUAAAGGAAUUGACGGAAGGGCACCACAAGGGGUGGAGCCUGCGGCUUAAUUUGACUCAACACGCGAAAGCUCACCAGGUCCGGACACCGGAAGGAUUGACAGAUUGAGAGCUCUUUCUUGAUUCGGUGGGUGGUGGUGCAUGGCCGUUCUUAGUUGGUGGAGCGAUCUGUCUGGUUAAUUCCGAUAACGAGCGAGACUCUAGCCUGCUAACUAGGCGUUCAGGACAUCCCGAAGGCCCGCGUCGGCCGUCGGGCCUCGUGCCCGGCGCGUCCGACGCGCGGUUUUUACUGUCCGCGUACACAAUUAUCUUCUUAGAGGUACAGGCGGCUCCUAGCCGCACGAAACAGAGCAAUAACAGGUCUGUGAUGCCCUUAGAUGUCCUGGGCCGCACGCGCGCUACACUGAAGGAAUCAGCGUGUCUUCCCUGGCCGAGAGGCCCGGGUAACCCGCUGAACCUCCUUCGUGAUAGGGAUCGGGGCUUGCAAUUGUUCCCCGCGAACGAGGAAUCCCUAGUAAGCGCGAGUCAUAAGCUCGCGUUGAUUAUGUCCCUGCCCUUUGUACACACCGCCCGUCGCUGCUACCGAUUGAAUGAUUUAGUGAGGUCUCCGGACCGGCACGCGGCGGCGCUUCGGCGUCGCCGACGUUCGCCGGAAAGAUGACCGAACUUGAUCAUUU
RNAcentral lists this ribosomal RNA (1877 nucleotides) under Cerylon sp. UPOL 002160. Its description in RNAcentral is "SSU rRNA". It matches the Rfam family "Eukaryotic small subunit ribosomal RNA". Lineage: Eukaryota; Metazoa; Arthropoda; Insecta; Coleoptera; Cerylonidae. The record is from RNAcentral.